This 51-nucleotide non-coding RNA is filed under the name unclassified sequences. RNAcentral describes it as "DUF3800-VI RNA". It matches the Rfam family "DUF3800-VI RNA". Rfam says of the family: Actinobacteria, Planctomycetes, Proteobacteria, Spirochaetes. Nearby to DUF3800 The record is from RNAcentral.
CGGUUGAGAGGGCUGCCAAUGCGGUCCGCUGGGUGAAUACCCACUCGGCUG